Molecule: long non-coding RNA, 921 nt
Organism: Gossypium arboreum
Lineage: Eukaryota; Viridiplantae; Streptophyta; Magnoliopsida; Malvales; Malvaceae
Exons: 2
Source: RefSeq, a predicted model, not a curated record
UGUAAUAGCCCGAUUUUGGGUCUAGUCGGAACAGUGGUUUCGGGACCACAAACCCGACGAGAAAAAAAAAUUUAUUUUUAUUAUAUUUUUAUAGUCUAUAAAUUUAUGAAAAUAUUUCGUAAAAAUUUCAUUCGAAAAUUUUGACGUUUGAGCACUCAAUUUAGUCAAAAGGACUAAAUUGUAAAAAGUGCAAAAGUUGAGUUCUUUAUAUAUGAGGUGCCUAAUUGUUAUGAGUUUUAAAUUGAAAGUCCUUAUGUGACAAUUAUUCCUUUAAUAAGUUAGUGAAUGGAUGUUUGUUUGGUAUUUUUGAAAUUUGGUUGAAAUAAAAAGGGUAAUUUUGUAAAUUAAUUAAAAUAACCUAAUAAGACAAAUGAUAAAAGCUAUCAUUUUUUUUCAUUCUUUCUUCUUCAACCGUGGGAAAGAACAGAAAAUAGCAGCCAUGGAUGAGCUCCAUUCGGCCAAGCUUUUAUGGCUUAUAUAGAUGAUGAAAAUUGAGACUUGGACCUAGAACGGAAAGAAAUCGAUUUAUGGACGAGUAUGUCCUUUUCACAUUUGUGGUAUCGAGAGUUUCCAGGUUAGCCCGGGUUGGAGGCCGUCAGAGAUAUUAUCACCCUAUCGAGUUAACGUUAUCGGAGUAAGUAAACUCAAGUGAUUCGAGUCUAUGGCAUGUAUAGGGUUUUAAUGUGCGUAUGUAAUAUUAUGAUUUAGCCAAAGGCAUUGGCUUGUUAUUAAGGUAGUAUUAGUCAUGUAAAUUGGCCUAUGUCGGCUAAUGACAUUAUGGGCCCAUAUGAUUAUUCUUAUGCAUGUAUGUUAUUAUCUCUUGUGAUGUGGCUUACAACAUGUAUACCUAGAGAUUGAAUUGAGAUUCAUUGAUGAGCUAGUAACUAAUGCAGGAUUAAGUGAUUGGUAAAUAGUUAAUAA